GUAGGUGGCAAGCGUUGUCCGGAAUUAUUGGGCGUAAAGCGCGCGCAGGCGGUUCUCUAAGUCUGAUGUGAAAGCCCACGGCUCAACCGUGGAGGGUCAUUGGAAACUGGAGAACUUGAGUACAGAAGAGGAAAGCGGAAUUCCACGUGUAGCGGUGAAAUGCGUAGAGAUGUGGAGGAACACCAGUGGCGAAGGCGGCUUUCUGGUCUGUAACUGACGCUGAGGCGCGAAAGCGUGGGGAGCAAACAGGAUUAGAUACCCUGGUAGUCCACGCCGCAAACGAUGAGUGCUAAGUGUUAGGGGGUUUUCCGCCCCUUAGUGCUGCAGCUAACGCAUUAAGCACUCCGCCUGGGAGUACGGCCGCAAGGCUG
Molecule: ribosomal RNA, 371 nt
Filed under: uncultured organism
Description: partial 16S ribosomal RNA
Rfam family: Bacterial small subunit ribosomal RNA
Source: RNAcentral